GGAGGGUAUGGUUCAGUGGUAGAGUGCGUGCUUAGCAUGCAUGAGGUCCUGGGUUCAAUUCCCAGUACCUCCA
RNAcentral lists this transfer RNA (73 nucleotides) under Vicugna pacos (alpaca). RNAcentral describes it as "tRNA-Ala (AGC) (tRNA-Ala-AGC-715-1)". It matches the Rfam family "tRNA". From Rfam's summary of the family: Transfer RNA (tRNA) molecules are approximately 80 nucleotides in length. Their secondary structure includes four short double-helical elements and three loops (D, anti-codon, and T loops). The record is from RNAcentral. Lineage: Eukaryota; Metazoa; Chordata; Mammalia; Artiodactyla; Camelidae.